AUUCUGCCCAAGCGGGGAAGGAUGAGAAGCUUCGACCAAGGUUCGACUCGAGCGCCAGCGAGAGAGCGUUGCCGCAGGCAACGACCCGAAGGGCGAAGCGCG
This 102-nucleotide small RNA is filed under the name Escherichia coli. RNAcentral describes it as "partial RtT sRNA". It matches the Rfam family "RtT RNA", at positions 1 to 100 of the family's 130-position model. From Rfam's summary of the family: This family represents a bacterial cis-regulatory element known as RtT RNA. The exact function of RtT is unknown although it is thought that it may be involved in changing the cellular response in relation to amino acid starvation. Lineage: Bacteria; Pseudomonadati; Pseudomonadota; Gammaproteobacteria; Enterobacterales; Enterobacteriaceae. The record is from RNAcentral.